This 750-nucleotide ribosomal RNA is filed under the name Rhodococcoides trifolii. RNAcentral's name for it is "bacterial SSU rRNA". It matches the Rfam family "Bacterial small subunit ribosomal RNA", at positions 102 to 864 of the family's 1533-position model. Lineage: Bacteria; Bacillati; Actinomycetota; Actinomycetes; Mycobacteriales; Nocardiaceae. The record is from RNAcentral.
ACGGGUGAGUAACACGUGGGUGAUCUGCCCUGCACUUCGGGAUAAGCCCGGGAAACUGGGUCUAAUACCGGAUAUGACUGCAGCAUGCAUGUGCUGUGGUGGAAAGAUUUAUCGGUGCAGGAUGGGCCCGCGGCCUAUCAGCUUGUUGGUGGGGUAAUGGCCUACCAAGGCGACGACGGGUAGCCGGCCUGAGAGGGCGACCGGCCACACUGGGACUGAGACACGGCCCAGACUCCUACGGGAGGCAGCAGUGGGGAAUAUUGCACAAUGGGCGCAAGCCUGAUGCAGCGACGCCGCGUGAGGGAUGACGGCCUUCGGGUUGUAAACCUCUUUCAGCAGGGACGAAGCGUGAGUGACGGUACCUGCAGAAGAAGCACCGGCCAACUACGUGCCAGCAGCCGCGGUAAUACGUAGGGUGCAAGCGUUGUCCGGAAUUACUGGGCGUAAAGAGCUCGUAGGCGGUUUGUCGCGUCGUCUGUGAAAACCAGCAGCUCAACUGCUGGCGUGCAGGCGAUACGGGCAGACUUGAGUAUUUCAGGGGAGACUGGAAUUCCUGGUGUAGCGGUGAAAUGCGCAGAUAUCAGGAGGAACACCGGUGGCGAAGGCGGGUCUCUGGGAAAUAACUGACGCUGAGGAGCGAAAGCGUGGGUAGCGAACAGGAUUAGAUACCCUGGUAGUCCACGCCGUAAACGGUGGGCGCUAGGUGUGGGUUUCCUUCCACGGGAUCCGUGCCGUAGCUAACGCAUUAAG